RNAcentral lists this ribosomal RNA (253 nucleotides) under uncultured bacterium. RNAcentral's name for it is "partial 16S ribosomal RNA". It matches the Rfam family "Bacterial small subunit ribosomal RNA", at positions 524 to 776 of the family's 1533-position model. The record is from RNAcentral.
UACGUAGGUGGCGAGCGUUGUCCGGAUUUACUGGGCGUAAAGAGCGCGCAGGCAGUCGUACAAGUCGCGUGUGAAAGCCCCCGGCUUAACUGGGGAGGGUCACGCGAUACUGUUCGACUCGAAGGCAGGAGAGGGAAGCGGAAUUCCCGGUGUAGUGGUGAAAUGCGUAGAUAUCGGGAGGAACACCAGUGGCGAAGGCGGCUUCCUGGCCUGUUCUUGACGCUGAGGCGCGAAAGCUAGGGUAGCAAACGGG